Long non-coding RNA from Erinaceus europaeus (western European hedgehog), 369 nucleotides. RefSeq lists it as uncharacterized. The transcript has 2 exons. Lineage: Eukaryota; Metazoa; Chordata; Mammalia; Eulipotyphla; Erinaceidae. The record is from RefSeq and is a predicted model, not a curated record.
GCUGCUAUCACUUAUUUCAAGGCAGAACCUUAGGUGCAUGCUAGAAAAUGGCCUACACUGACACAAUUUUAAAGACAAUUUUGGACAGAGCUCAGGAAGAGACGAGGAAAGCUGUGAGAAAAGUUCCUUUCUUCUGAGAGAACACCUAACCAUUCUACAUGACUCAAAAAGAGAACAGACUUCCUCUCAGCUCCAGAAAAGACUGGGGACACUCUGAGUUCCAGAAUUCAAAAAAGCACACACACACACACAUUCACACAAGUACUUAACUCAAGAAGCACUGUGGUCCCACAAGAAUCUGGUUUAAUACUAUUCAGUAUGAUCUACAAAGAUGAGUCUAGAAAUAAACAAAAUCAUCUUUCCAUCACA